This 556-nucleotide ribosomal RNA is filed under the name uncultured bacterium. RNAcentral describes it as "bacterial SSU rRNA". It matches the Rfam family "Bacterial small subunit ribosomal RNA", at positions 97 to 639 of the family's 1533-position model. The record is from RNAcentral.
GGCGUAAGGGUGCGUAACACGUGGGCAACUGCCGAGAAGUGGGGGAUAGCUCGCCGAAAGGCGAAUUAAUACCGCAUGUGGCUAGCGAAGACAUCUUCGCGACGCCAAAGCCGGGGCAACCUGGCGCUUCUUGAUGGGCCCGCGGCCUAUCAGCUAGUUGGUGAGGUAACGGCUCACCAAGGCUAUGACGGGUAGCUGGUCUGAGAGGACGACCAGCCACACUGGAACUGAGACACGGUCCAGACACCUACGGGUGGCGGCAGUCGAGAAUUUUUCUCAAUGGGGGAAACCCUGAAGGAGCGACGCCGCGUGGAGGAUGAAGGUCUUCGGAUUGUAAACUCCUGUCAUUAGGGAACAAGUUGCAACCAUUAACUGUGGUUGCAUUGAUAGUACCUGAAGAGGAAGAGACGGCUAACUCUGUGCCAGCAGCCGCGGCAAUACAGAGGUCUCAAGCGUUGUCGGAUUCAUUGGGGCGUAAAGGGUGCGUAGGUGGCGCCGUAAGUCAGGGUGUGAAAUCUCGGGGCUUAAACCCCGAAACUGCACUUGAUACUGCGGU